CCCGCGAUUCACGCGCAUAGUCUGGAGGGGGCUUUAGAAUAAGACCUAUAGGGAUGGAGAUAAACCUUCAAAUUUCGAUAAUCACAGUAGCCGUCCAGAGGCUUCUACAGCGAAUACUGAAGUACGCAAAUUCGGCACCUUUCUCUUUUACUCUAAUUAAGGCGUAAUUAAGGUGACAAAGAAAGAUGGCCGCAAUUUGGUAACCGCGGUGUUCGCGGUUAUAGCCAAGUGAACGCGUUUAAAAACUGUUGUGAAAAAGCACCCUUAAGUAGUUAAGUUCUAUCAAUAAGUAACAUUAUUAUUUAAAUCAUAUCAACUUUCCUAAUAACAACAUAUUUCAAAGGCACGAAACUAUUAUAGAUGGUUUCAACUCUUUUUGAUACUUAGACACAUGGAUAAAGCGUCCGAACACGGUAGUGUGACUAAAUAGUUAUUUGUUUUACAAGGGGGCAAAGUUGUUGUUUAACCGCUCGUGCUAAAAUUGAUACCCGAGCAAGCGAAAGAUUCCAAAAUAAAUGGAAUCUUGAGCGUUGCGAGGGUUUCAAAGCACGAGGGUUAAACAAAAUUUGCCCUCGAGUGAAACACAAAAUUUUUCACCACACCAACCCGAAGCAAAUAUUAAAUGUAAAAUAUCAAACAAAAUCAAACCAAAUCAAAUCCAAAUGAAUGUUAUUAAAUAUUUAUCAUCCAAAAUCAUCAUUUAAAAGUCAAUUCUACCAGCAAACAUAAGAAAACAACUCAAAAUUUGCAUUUGAUUACUUUGCCUCACAUGUGGAUAAAAUGCAACUUUGCUAUUCGUUUUCGAAGUGCAAAGUAAGACUUUCCGAGUUGGUGUGGUGAAAAUAUUUAUAUUUAACCAGUAAAAUCAUUUUCAUAAUUUUAAUUUUUAACAAGCAGAAACGUCUGCAAACGUUGCUAUUAAGCUUAGAAUAAAUUUAAAAGUGGAAAAAUUACUGUCUUGGGUGAGACUUGAACUCACGGCCUCUGGAUCCCCGUUUAAGAAGCCGGCCGUUGGAUGGCCGUUUAAGAAGUGUAACACUCUUACGGUAGAUGUCGCUAAGGGUCCCCUUGACCUAUAAUAUGGUGGAAAGAUUUGCUGGCUGGGGAUGAGGUCAUGGUGGCUCAGAUGGCAGAGCGCUGGAUUAUCGAUCCAGAAGCCGUGAGUUCAAGUCUCACCUAAGACGGUAAUUUUUCCACUUUUAAAUUUAUUCUAAGCUUAAAAUCAUUUUCUUUAUAAAAGUGACACAAGUAAAAAACAAGGUUAUUAUGUGACGUUGGCGUCCAAUUUACAAGAAAUCGCAUGCAAUAUUAGAUACAUUGGAGGCUAAUUAUGUAGCCCACGCAGUGCAAGUGUUAUUUUAAACGUCAAACUUCUAUGAAAUUAUGACGUAUAUAUAACACUUGCACUGUGUGGGCUGUCAAAAUCACUGCAGACUUUUCUUGGUCUAACUCUAACAAUCACGAUCACAAGUUUGCUCAUUACAAGUCGUGGUAAUGCCACUUUUUAAAUAUAAUUUUACAUGUUUACAUUAAGCGGGGACAAUUGAAUAUACAGGGUGAUUCAAGAGACGUGAGCAGGACUAACACUGCGCAUUUCGUAAAUUAUAAGCAACUGCUUCGUAUCGGUAUUAGUGAGGUUAACGUUAAUUUUCUAGUCGUGUUGAAAAAAAAAGCUAUUAAUUUAUUUACGACAUGCAUGGUCACCCUAAAAUUAGACUACUAAACUAGGUACCGAUAUUGUGUCAAAUUGAAUGAAAUCACUGUCAUCACGGUCUGGUUACUUUUGAAAUCUCGUAUCUCACUCAAGUUUGACAGUUUAUUUUCUUCGUAAUCAAAAUGGUGUCAUUACGGUUAAAGAGGUUUUAUGUUUAUUAAGUAGGUCUUGUAGGGUGACCAUGUUUGUAGAGAAUUAAAUUUGCCCUCACCAAAAAUUUAAAAAUAGGAAAAAGUGAGGUUGUUUUGCCUUAAUACAACGGUGAUUGAUCAAUUGUCAAUUACUGAGUGUGCAGGAUUAGUCCUGCUCACGUCUCAUGAAUCACCCUGUAUAGUGAAUUAUUAAACAUAUAAAGAUACCUACACUGGUAUGGUUAGGUUUUUUAAGGUGUCCGAAAGUUAAGAGGUAUUUAUUCAUACAAUUCUGACAUUAAAAAAAAUCUUACAUAAGCAUACAGUUAAUGAGAAAAAACUGUUCAUGUCAAGGUUCUUACAGAUUACCAGUUCGCCGGACGAUAUCAGCCUGUCAGUUAAUCACAAAAGGUGACAGUUCCGAACAACUGACAGGCUGAUAUCGUCCGGCGAACUGGUAAUCUGUGGGCCCCUUUAUAGCAUUGAUUAGGGAAUGCAAAUCGGUUAUAACCGAUUAUUUUGUCAAAAUUUCAUAACCGAAUAUUGGAAACUCGAAUAACCGGUUACGGUUAUUUGCGGUUAUUUAUUUAAGACUUACAUUGUAUAUUUUUAUCAUCUAAUGGCUACAAAAUCCCGCCAUUUUUGGCUGUGACUAUAAUUUUUGUCAUUAAUAACAAAAUAUACUAAAUUUACUUCCCUUAUUUAUGAAAUAUUUUUAUUGAAUAUUGUAUCACGUCCAAGGUCAUAUUUUACUUUUACUGUAUUUAGUGCGUUUUAUUAAAAAACGAAGACUUUUACUCACAUUCCCUAAUACUGUAGGUACUAAAAUAAAACAUUUUGGAGUUUUUUAAUUACUUCAUUGUAAAUUUAUAAUUUUUCUUCGAAAAUAACCGUAACCGAUUAUAACCGAUAUUUGGUUAUUUUUCGGGCAUAACCGUAACCGAAACCGGUUAUGAAGUUUGGCCGGUUAUUGCAUUCCCUAGCAUUGAUCUUUUCCUAUAGGAAAAUUUAUUAAUAACAAGUAUCGUCAUUUGUAGAAAAAUUAUGGCGGCAAAUUAUUAUUUAAAUAGGCAUUAUCAAUACAGGCCAUAAUUAAAACAUUAAUAAAAUUUAAACAAAAAAAAAAACAACAACCAUAGAUUAACAUUAAUAAUAAUUAAAAAAAAACCUAAACAACUAUAAUUUCAUAUUCUGAUACAACAGAUUUUUAUAAAAGAAAUACUGGACUUCAUAAAUUUGUCUUAGAGCUAAGAAUACAGAUGUAGUGUAUAUUGUUUUCCAUCGUAUUUUCUCGGAACCAUUCGUAUUUGUCAUGCUAAUUCAGUCAACCUCAGUACUUUUUGUACCGAGACUGACUGAAAUGGCAAGACACGUUCGUAUGUUUCCGUGAAAUAACGAUGGAAAAUAAUUAUGCACUACAUCUGUAGAAUAACUAACGUGGCCUUGAAAAAUAAUAUUUACAUGUCAUUCACAGUAUAAAAAAAUCUAUGAUUUUUAUCUGUACUAGUUUAUAUUUUGUUCUAAUUCUUUGCAAAAAAAGAGGCAAACAUAUUUUUUUUUAAUAAAAAUUAUUACCGUUUUCUUUUAGGCAACUGGAGACUAAAGCAUGUAAUAAUAAUAAUACAGAAAUAUGACGUUCUUACACAGAAGGUACUAUGUUGCAUAAACCUACCACGAAAAUCUAAAAUCUAAAUUUCGUUAUCUAACUCUUGCUUAUUCGAGAGGCAGAGACAUAACGAAAAUUCGAUUUUCUGUUUCGCGGUUGGUUGUGCUUAAGGCAACCGACCAACAUGUUAGCUCUUUUAAACGAUGUACCUUUUGCUUUAGAACGACACAAUUUUACCUACUUUUUUUAUAAAAUUCCUAUCCUAUAACAAUUCCUAAGCUUUUUUAAGCAUAUCUUUGGGUGUUUGCGUAACAGUAAAUAACGUAGGACUAAUGUAAUCUAAGUGCGAGGCCUUAGGGGGGCAAAUUUAGACGAUUAAGGCCAAAACUAUUAUAUUUAAAAAAAAAGCAUAGUUUGGGAUUAAGUAGCAAGCUUGUAUACACGGUGUAACAUGAGUAAACCGAAUAAUUUUAACAGCGUAUUCCUGAGCAUAUUUAGAGACAAAAAUGUCCUAUAAACUUUUUUUUAAAAACGCCUAGUUUCAGAGAUAAUAUUAAUUUAAAAAUAAACAAGUUUUUGUUGUUACAUAAUGUAAAAGGCCUUUUUGAUGGUAAUGUUGCUGCUAUGGGACGUAGUCUAAAUAUCCUUAUUGAUAGAUGUCAAAAAGUGACAAGUAACACUUUGCAAAAAGGUUUUACGAAAAAAAAUGUAAAAAUCAAUUGUAAGUAACAAGUUUACCAAUAACAUUUAUUUUUUAUGUACAAAUAAGUACAUUCAAAAAAUUGAAAACACAAAACAAAAAAAGAAUCUUUUUUUGUCGAAAUUGACCUAAACUCAUAUUACAUUUUUUCCUUCUUUUGACCUCAGAAAUGCGUGGUUAAAAUUAUUCGGUUUCCUCAUGUUACACCGUGUAUAGCUGUAAGUACUUUAGAAAAUGCAUCCAUAAUACCUUAUUUUUCGGAUUUUUACAUGAGCAUACUUAAAAAAAAACAGACAAGAUAUUUCGUAAAAUGAAUUAAUCGUUAUUUUAUUUGUCACAUUACUUGAUUUCACCAAUUCUUGGUUCUUGGAUAAUCCAAAUGUGACGUCCCACGGGUAAAGGUACCUUUUGCCGUGGAACGCCACAAAUAUUAAAAUGGUGUGAUGUGACAUAGUGUGGAUGAAACUGUUUCGUAUUUUAUAAACAAGCGAAAUUGUACUUUCUACUAUAAUAGCAUAGUUAAAAUUAAUCAUUUUUCUUAAGCAAUAGCACCUAUGUAGAUAUUUAUAGUAAUGAUAUGAAUCUGAUGUUAACAUGAACACUUAUAUUAAUGUAUGCACUUUAAUUGCAAGAACUGUGCGUUUGUUAUAAUUAUUGUAACCGGUUGGUGGCCGAAACCGGUAUACCCUAUAGAAAAACCGGUAAAAAUGAAAGAAUAGGAAAACAAAAUUAUCCGUGUUUUAUUUAGUUUCAUGCUAAGGUUUUAAUUAGGUAAGGUAAGGCAUCCAACAGGUAUUGUAAUUUUCUUUUUAUGUUUGUUCGACGCUUUUAAACACUUAGUGUACAACAGACAUAUUUUACAAUGAGGAAUUGGUCACUCUAAUGAUAUUCAGAAUAAGAAAGAGACUGACCGCACUGAAUAAUUAUUGAAACUAUGCGAAACAAGCAAUUAUAUCUCUUUUUCACACACGCACCUAAAAACCAUAGACUAAUUUAGAUUUAUCGAAAGGCUAACAAUUUUUAUCACCGUCGUAUUCUAAAGGAAUGAUUUUGUAGUGUUGCGUGUGUAAAAGGCACUAACUAAGAAUUAAAUGAAAUGACCUAUCUACAAGUUGUCUAUCUAGUAUCAGAAACCACAAUCUUAGUCUAAUUAUUUAUUUCACAAAUCAUUUGAUACCACAAAUGACAAUUGAAGGGAUGUUUACAAAAACAACAUAACUGACUACACUGGUUGACACCUGAAACGAUUAACAAUGUUCUUAAAAAAGUGUCAACCGCUCUAAGCAGUUAUGUUGUUUUUGUCAAGAUCCCUUCAAUUUCAAAGUGAUAUAAUCAUAUCAUAUAGUCAUGAGAGGCCCAUUAUGCAUUGUUCAUAAGCUCAGACAUAUGUCAAAAAAUAACUUAAACUGUUACUUCGAAAGUUUAUACUAUAAUAUAAUAUGACGCAAGCACAUCUAUCUAUUCUAGCAAGUCCAAGGAAAUAAGUAACUCUACUGCUCUAAGAAAACCGUUUCGAUAGUGAUAUAAUUUAACUACUCAUAAAAUGUCAUAAAUUCUAUUAGCUCAAAACGGUACUCUACGAAUAGUUAAAUAUAAUUUUAUAACAUACCAAAUAUUAUCUCACUCUUUGGAAUUAAUGGGUUUAUUUAAUAUACAACCAGGUGAGAAAAGGCACGAAUGUACCACUUUUGACACUGACGAACCUCUAUAGAACAUACACAGAAUUUGAUAUAAAUACUCACUGUGUUUGUACGGUCAACUUCACAAACAUCAUUACAAGCCAACGUUCCAGAAAUAUAUUUACCCGACCUUAUUGUCAGUGUCUUACAGACGUGUAAAUAUAUUUUUGGAACGUUGGUUUGUUAAGAUGUGAACUCGACUUUAUCUCUAUGACUUUAACUAUUGUUCUCUCUCUCUACUCUCUCUUAAUAUUAGUCUGUCGCCAUCAACAAAGUGUAUCUUAGGACCACUUGCACCAUCCCACUAACCUGAGAUUAAGCAGUUAAAUCGUUAACCCAGUGUCAAAUUGUACUGAUAAACAUGGUAACAACAGGUUUAACCGGUUAACCCUGGAUUAGUGGGAUGGUGCAAGUGGCGUUUAGUGAGUUUACGGAAACAAUAAAAUUAAGUAGCCAAAAGGCAUGGAUUAUUGAUACACAAUGAUCUUAACCCUAUUUAUUAUAUAACCCUAGUGUAUAACAAUACAUUUCCAUGGUCGUCAGUGGAUGGAACACAAUGUUAUUAUUAUACGUUAUGUGAAGGCGGAUUCAAAUAAGAACCUAAAAUAUGUUAUACAUUUUUGAUCGAUGAUUAAUAAUGAGAAUUUAGCUUUAUAAUUUGUAGGUACAGCGAAUGCAAACAAGUUUUCAUAGUUAUAAUUUGUCUAAAAAAAUAUUAAUAUUUAACUAUGGAAGCGUGUAGCUAAUUUCAACUACGUAGUCCCAUUCAAAAGAAUAUUUACAAAAUUGGCCUAAAAUAACAGUUUUCGUCGACUUUAUAAACAGGUAAAAUAUUAUCUUUAAUCAUUAUAAGCCGAAAAAAUAUCACAUAAACCGUAAAAUAUUUAUUUUCUUUCAAAUUUUAUCAUAAUUUUCAUUUCCAGUAAGUAACUCAUUUGACUGUCAAAAGACUUUAAAUUAAACUUUAGAAGGCAACGGAUUUAAUAAGAAUUUAACUCACUUAACCAAUAAAACAUUGAGACACGUAGUUUUAAAUAAUCACAGAGUAGUUGUGCAAUAGCAGUAAUUUGUGAUUUCGUAGAGAGUAACAGUAGUAAAUACUAAUGAGCAGGAGCGAUAAAAAAAAAUUAAGUAUGUUACGAAUAAAUAAUACAAGUAAUUAAUAUGCGAUGGCCUGAUGGCAUAUGUACACUAUAUUUUUAUAUACAUGCCAAUUAGGCUUCGUUGUUGACAUAGUAAAAUGAAAUUAUAAUUUAAAAUUAUGACAUAGAACACAAAGUAUUUAAAACCGGUUAAAGGAAAAACCAGUGUAGAACAUCCGAGUAAGACCUGAAACCGGUUUUGCACAGAUUUUGGCCAGUCAAUCAACACUAAGAAUAACUUUAUAACUAGAAAAUUGUCGUAUUUCUUAGGCAAUGAAUUUGUUGGUCAUUGAUUUGCGUAACCUUAUAUAAGUAAAGAUUGUACAGGUAGUGAUGAAUUAAAUCUUAUGUCAUCAUCUCCAUAACUUGUA
This is a long non-coding RNA of Cydia fagiglandana, 7343 nucleotides long. RefSeq lists it as uncharacterized. The transcript is spliced from 2 exons. The record is from RefSeq and is a predicted model, not a curated record. Lineage: Eukaryota; Metazoa; Arthropoda; Insecta; Lepidoptera; Tortricidae.